AUUUUUUCUGAGUAGAAACCAUAAAAGAAAUAUAAAAACGCUUUGCCGCCGAAAUUUCAAACGCUAUUCUUUUCAAAAUCUCACAUCAAAAGGGUUUUGCAAACACGAAAAAUCCACUUUCCAUUUCAGAAGCAUAGAGAUGGAUUCGUCGAACUCCAAGAACGCUGGUUCAUCAUUGGAGGCCUUGAUGACUUCAUUCAAUGCUCGCAUAUUUGAACUUCAAGAGCUCGUAAUUGCUAGAAACAUGUACCCAGCGAGCAGUAUUCCAGAUCUUUCUGCUAUUGAUGCUGCUGUGAGUGCUUUGGAGCUUCAGGUGCAAACCAUUAAGGAGAAUUUCCGCAAUGAGAUGGAAGCUAUUCCUAAAGCAAAGAAAUUUAUCGAUGCAUGUCUGCAGCAGCAAAAGAAACUGCAGAAUAUGUCUCUUUACGUUCCUUCCCAAAUGGCGGAUAGAACGACCCUGUCAAAUUCAGAAACUAGUAGAGCUUUGUUUCCUGAAUUUUCUGGACUAGACACUGGAUCAUUUGAGGCUUUAAAACUUGAUGCGGAGCCUGCUGCAUUGCCUAAGGAGAAAAAAGGCCGUGGUCCCCCACCAACGUGGUAUGUCACUGGAAGUGAACUUGAUUCCUUGUCAUCAUAUAUGAGGGGUAGGCUUACUUUAGAGAAGGUGAAUGCAGCAAUCACAGAUAUGGCGUCUUAUGCGGAAGCUAAUACUCAGCUUAUUGCAGCUCCGAAAAAGAAGUUGGCAGAAAAUCUUUGGGAAAAAGCUAUGGAAAUAAGAGAUAUUGCAACAAUGGAAGGGAUUAAAGGAAAACACUUUUUUCUCGAAGCUGAUAUAAAAGGUCCAGCACUCAAACUUGACCACACUGGAAAGGCAAUAUUGACAGUUCUUCGACACCUUGGCCGUUUUAAUGAGACUCGAGUUGGACAUCAUCGUGUUUUCAUUCUACAUAAGCCUCAUUAGCAAAAAGUUAACAUUGACCUUUUGCUACAGAUAAAUUGUUGAGACUAUUAUCUGAUACAGCACAAAUGGUUGGUGUACCUGAACAUUUUUCUGAAGUUGCGGGAUAAUAUUCUGGCUUGUGCAAUUCUACUUAAUAUGAUUGAGAAUUUGUUGAAAUGAUUCAGUGUGCUGCCGAUCCUGUAUGAUGUUCUUUGGUAUUGCUUCAUGUGUCAUAAGUGUUUAUAUGAUGACCAUUGUGCUACAAAUGUUUUCGUGUAUAAAGUGAAUUAGUAUAAAUGGUUUAUGCACGGAUAAAAGUUAUUGUUAUAAUUAGAUAUUUAUACUAUUACUCAUUUAUAUUAAUGAAAUAUAUUGUAAAGUGUAAUUAAAUAUAAAAUAACUCUUGGGGGAGAUAAAAAGUAUAUGAGAAAAGGGAUGGUGGUGUGUAAAUUAUUUUCUGUCAAUUUGUAUCUUA
This is an RNA transcript of Lathyrus oleraceus (garden pea), 1415 nucleotides long. It is a transcript of the gene named spindle and kinetochore-associated protein 1 homolog, with no coding region annotated. The record is from RefSeq and is a predicted model, not a curated record. NCBI's taxonomy places the organism in Eukaryota, Viridiplantae, Streptophyta, Magnoliopsida, Fabales, Fabaceae. The transcript is spliced from 10 exons.